RNAcentral lists this unclassified non-coding RNA (219 nucleotides) under soil metagenome. RNAcentral describes it as "partial contains 5.8S ribosomal RNA, internal transcribed spacer 2, and large subunit ribosomal RNA". The record is from RNAcentral.
AACCAUAGAAACCUGCGGAGUACCUGCGGAAGGAUCAUUACAGAGUUGCAAGACUCCCUAAACCAUUGUGAACCUACCUUCUACCGUUGCUUCGGCGGGCGGGCCCAGCGCCCCCCCGGCCCCCCGCGGGCGCCCGCCGGAGGAUACCCAAACUCUUGACAUUAGUGGCCUCUCUGAGUAUUCUUUACUGAAUAAGUCAAAACUUUCAACAAUGGAUCU